GAUGAACGCUGGCGGCGUGCCUAAUACAUGCGAGUCGAGCGAACGGACGAGAAGCUUGCUUCUCUGAUGUUAGCGGCGGACGGGUGAGUAACACGUGGAUAACCUACCUAUAAGACUGGGAUAACUUCGGGAAACCGGAGCUAAUACCGGAUGAUAUUUUGAACCGCAUGGUUCAAAAGUGAAAGACGGUCUUGCUGUCACUUAUAGAUGGAUCCGCGCUGCAUUAGCUAGUUGGUAAGGUAACGGCUUACCAAGGCAACGAUGCAUAGCCGACCUGAGAGGGUGAUCGCCCACACUGGAACUGAGACACGGUCCAGACUCCUACGGGAGGCAGCAGUAGGGAAUCUUCCGCAAUGGGCGAAAGCCUGACGGAGCAACGCCGCGUGAGUGAUGAAGGUCUUCGGAUCGUAAAACUCUGUUAUUAGGGAAGAACAUAUGUGUAAGUAACUGUGCACAUCUUGACGGUACCUAAUCAGAAAGCCACGGCUAACUACGUG
This 497-nucleotide ribosomal RNA is filed under the name uncultured bacterium. RNAcentral describes it as "partial 16S ribosomal RNA". It matches the Rfam family "Bacterial small subunit ribosomal RNA", at positions 28 to 507 of the family's 1533-position model. The record is from RNAcentral.